AGCGGUCCUGAGUGCAGUGGUGUUUACCACUAAUUGACCACAACCAGUUACAGAUUUCUUUGUUCUGUCUCCACUCCCACUGCUUCACUUGACUAGCUAAAC
Unclassified non-coding RNA from Saimiri boliviensis boliviensis (Bolivian squirrel monkey), 102 nucleotides. It matches the Rfam family "Y RNA". From Rfam's summary of the family: Y RNAs are components of the Ro ribonucleoprotein particle (Ro RNP), in association with Ro60 and La proteins. The Y RNAs and Ro60 and La proteins are well conserved, but the function of the Ro RNP is not known. In humans the RNA component can be one of four small RNAs -- hY1, hY3, hY4 and hY5. NCBI's taxonomy places the organism in Eukaryota, Metazoa, Chordata, Mammalia, Primates, Cebidae. The record is from Ensembl.